GCCAGGGUACGCAAGCUGGUAAAGCGGCCGUUCUCAGAUAGCGGUGCAUGCGGGUUCGACUCCCGUCCCUGGUA
This 74-nucleotide transfer RNA is filed under the name Deltaproteobacteria bacterium. RNAcentral describes it as "tRNA-Leu". It matches the Rfam family "tRNA". From Rfam's summary of the family: Transfer RNA (tRNA) molecules are approximately 80 nucleotides in length. Their secondary structure includes four short double-helical elements and three loops (D, anti-codon, and T loops). The record is from RNAcentral. Lineage: Bacteria; Pseudomonadati; Myxococcota; Myxococcia.